AUGGAAAUUAGCCUCUGGAGGGUGGAAACCAUGGCUUACAACAUGAAGGCAGAAGAAAAUAUGUUUCUAGAUCUCCUCAAACCAGAUCUUUCAUCAGAUGUUAAACAUAUGCAGUGGACACGGAUUAGUUGUACACAAAGCAUCCUGUUCAUUUGUUGUUAUGAUGGAACCGUCCAUGGCUUAAAUUUGAAACAUGAUGAAAUGCUGCUUUCCUGCAACUUAUCAUCAACGUUCAUUGUGUGGGACAAUGCUGAUCUAAUUCUAGUCUCAAAAAUCAUCACUCUGUCAAGUAGUUUGGAUGGAAAUGAAAUUUUGAUCGCAAUGUUGAAAGGUUUCCAUAUCGUUGUUUCAUCCGUCAAAAUAGAGAGUUCUACUCCUGCUCAGCCAGCAUUGCUCCAUAAAUUCUCCACGCAAAUCACAGGAUUAGACAAAAUUAACGAUGAACAUUUAAUUUGCGGAUUAUGGAAUGGUGCUGUUUAUUUAAUUUCUGUGAAAAACGGUUUAUUAACUGUAGAUGCCAUUGAAAAAGAUAUCUCUUAUGCAAAUUAUUGCUGCCAAGGCCUUGCACUUUCAAGGAAUGGAGCGUUUGCAGUUUUAUGCAACAGCGUUUCUAAGUUUUUUGACCACUCCAACCUGCGGCAAACAGCACAUUUUUACCUAAUGGCAUUACCCAAAGAAAUUAUUGACCCAGCGUUACUAAUCGAAUCCUCUUUGAAGUCAAAAUCAUCAACUGUGAAUUCAAUUGCUGAUUGUUUAGCAUCAUACAGGUUCAGUAUUGUUUCUAAGGAACAACCAAUACCACAAUACCUGGAAAAGCUGGAUGAUUUAUGUGCUUUGCCGGAUAAUGUGCUCCAAAUUUACCUUCGAUUAUUUCACUUUUUAGCUCCGUGUGAUCCUCUUGAAAGUGAAAAAUGGAGAAAACUGUCGAAUCUCAUCACAACUGUCCUUUAUGCCCGAUUUUUCACUCGCAAGAAAGUUUCCAAUCCUGUGGUGAUUCAAUGGCUGUACAAGACAGUCAAAACUUUGGAUAGCAGUUUCAAGGAGUUAAUAGCAGCCUGUGAACAGUUGGUCUCCUCAGCUGGUAAUCAGAAAGCUGUAUGUGUGUUCUGUGAUGGAGAUGUUAGCGAUGUAAGCUUUGACCACUUUAGUUGCAGUUCUGGCCAUAAAGUUCCUAUUUGCGCCUUUAGUUUCCAGCCUUGUUUAGUCAUUCCGUAUUGUAUCUGUGAUGGUUGUGGUGCCAUAGCUCUCCAAGAAUCAGUAUCAUCUAUCGUGGAGCACUGUGUGAUCUGUGGAGGCGACUUUCAGAUAGAUCUCAUUGUUUCAGAAACUCAUAUCUAUGAUGGAGAAGCAGAUGAUGCGGAUCAACCGCGUGAAGAGACAGAAGUUGUCCAUGCUAGCACCAAGUUUCAUGCGCAGGUGGAAGAAGAAAAACUUGACGACCCUCUGGCCGAUCCGCUAAUGUGGAUCUCCCCAUCAGCACGGGUUCGCCGUUCCUGAUCUAUAGCUGACUUCGCGCUUCAUUUGUCAUAUUUUUAAGUUAUAUUUGUUCUAUAUUUGUUUUUUCUCUCCAAUUUGCUUGUUUUUUCUGCCUUUCUUUCUUUCACUCUUUGGGAAAUGCAUCCUAUUCCUGCUCAUAUUGCCAACUUACCAACUGAAUAAUGUCUACGAACCAUAUGUUCAAACUGUUGGCCUACAUUAUUCCUGUCUCUGUUUUUACAUUUUUUGUUAAUUUUUCCCCAUCAAAAUCUGAAGUUUUUUCAGUCAAAACAAAAGCAUUGUUUCUUUGGUCUUGAAUACAUAUUUCUCCGAGAGAACAGUACUGAGCGAAAAUUGAAAUUCGUAAAUCGCAUUGACGCAUUGGUCUUGAAAAUCUAUGCUCUGUUCCAAUUAAUUUUCCGACUAUCCCCAUUUCUUUUUUAACACAUUACCUAAUCUUUAAAGUUAACCAUUUCUUGGGAGAUCCAAGUUUAGUAAUUUUCGGUGAUUGUAAAGAACUGCACAUAAAUUUGUAAAUAUUGUUAUCUUAGAGUUAAGUCAAUGUUGCCAAACGAAGAAUCUCAAAUUAUUUUUUUACCUUUGAAGUAAGAUAAUUUCUUGUGUGUAGAGCAUUUUUUUUUAGGAAUCUAGGUUAAAGUUCAAAGUCUUUUGAGUGAUCCGUAGUCGCUAAACAUUGUGAAUUGAGAUUUAUGUCCCUUAAUUUUCUGUUUGUUCCUUCUAUUCUGAGCGUUUGAAGGAAAAGACACGCAAAAGUAUACGAUAUGUAACAUACUAUAUUCCAGUGUGCGUGCUUGUUCAUUUUUAUAGCACUUGAGAUCGGUACAUAAACCAAGUAACCAAAAUACCAAGUAUUACAAAUAAGUUAUCUGCUCGUGCUGUUUCAAAAAAUCCAUAAACGGAAGGUGGUUAUAAGAUUGUAACUGAGAGACUAUAUUUGAAUGGUUAGUUUAGGGCUAUGAGAAUAAGUAAAAACGUUUUUAAAAUAAACCGUGCACAUUAAGCCUUUAAACAUGUUUGGUCCCACAUUUAUUUUAGAAUAAAUCUCGACUCUUCGGAUCAGCCAAUAAAUAGUUUUAACGAACAUUUGAAGUACUUGAGUCAUUUGUAGGUUGUCUGUUGAGUUAUUUUUUGAAGAUAUAAUUUCACGAUAUCGUAGCAUGUCAAAAUUUUCGGAAAGAACCUUUUUCUCUAUCCUGAGAAACACAUCGGGGGAAAAGUGGAAGAAAUACUUUUUGCAGCUGGAAAAAAAAAUCCCAAACCACUUUUUUCAUAACUUUACGUGGCGGGACAAGCUGCCAGAUGUGUAACAGAAUAUUUUAAAGGAUUCUUUCAGUGUGACUCAAUAUACACUGAAAAAAAGUUCUGUUGUCACAAACCAGAAUUUCUGGUUAUAUUUCGCAACCAGAUUUUCCGGUUGAUUUAACCAGAAUUACAGUUGACUCAACCAGAAUUUGGUAGAGUCAACCUGACGUCUGGUUGAGUCAACUGUAAUUCUGGUUGAAUCAACCGGAAAAUCUGGUUGCGAAAUACAACCAGAAAUUCUGGUUUGUGACAACAGAACUUUUUUUCAGUGUAGACUCAUUACAUUGCUGCCCAAGUCUUCUCUGAGAACUGAACAAUUUUGUUUGUACGUACAUUUUUAACUAAAUUGCGAAGGGCGUCUACGUGCCGAAACUCUAUUUUUGAAAGAUUUAUCAAUAUAUUUUAAAAGAUAUUUGUCCAGCCUCCCACCGAGAUUCUGUCUCAAUACUACGCAUGCGGUAUUGUCGCCCUCCUGACUUAAAGACGUAACUACACUUCGGGAUGAGCCCUGUUGCACUUAUAUCUCAAUGCUUUCCCGGGCUCAUAUCGAAGUGUACAUACGCCCUUUUGUCACCUAAGCGACGAUUCGAAUACCUAUUUACUUACUACGAGGCUCGACUGCGACCUCAUACUUGCCUCCUGCCUUUGGCUUAUUUCCAUUUUAAGAACUUUAUUAAUUUGAGUCCACUUAUUUGAUUCUUCAAAAUUUCAUUCCUACUAGCCAUCUCGCUAAUUCCCUAAGUACUUUUUUCCAUUAAAGUUGAAAGAGAUUUUCUCCAUUGUUUUGUCAAUUAAAUUUACUGUCGUGUCACUUGUCAGAUAUCUCUUUAGAACUAUUUUAGAUGAAUGUCUCGUUCUAUGUCCUUCCCAGAUUGUUUUUUAUCAUUAUUAUUAUUAUUUUUUUGGCAAUUACCGACCAUUUAAAUUGAAGCUAUAAUUAAUUAAGUAUCUCGCAUUUGCUCUCAAAGUUUUUGAUUAUUUUCUUAUCGUUCGCCCAACACUUCUUGGUUAUUUCGUCUCUCUUCCAUGAAUUUUUAUUAUUGACUUUUUCGUUACUAUUUUAAGUGUCAGUUAAAUUUCUCUCUCAUUAAUUUUUUUUAUUUUUUACUUUUUGAUACUUUUGAAUGUUUACUAUUUUUCAUUAUUAUUGGUGAUUUACUUCGGGCUGGAUUAGCUUGUGCGUAUCAUUUUUUGAUAUCAGUUGAUCUGCGUUCGAUUUUUUUUUAUUUUUUUUGGAUUUUUUUCCCUCAUCAUUUCCUUUCUCUCAAACAACAACAGAGAGCGACUUUUAGGAUCUUUUUUAGUUUUUGAUUGUUAUGUAUUACAUUCUCGUAACUCCAACCUCAGUGCUUAAGGGUUUGUGCAAAAGUUACAAAGUUUUUAAUCUCGUUGUCAGUUUUCAAAUUUCUGUGUCAAAGUCACCCUCUGUUUUUCUUAAUUUUUUCAAUUUGUGAGAAAACGUUACUCAAAUAAAUUACCAAAUGACAGUUCCACCUCUCUCGCCAUUAUUUACAUAACUCUUGAAAAAACCUAAUUUAACAGUAUGAGCAAUUGACUACAUGCAUGUCUAAAUUAACAUUGACCAAUAAAAGGGGUAUUUUAUAGUUUUUAUU
RNAcentral lists this long non-coding RNA (4412 nucleotides) under Bemisia tabaci. RNAcentral's name for it is "lncRNA ENSASIAIIG008682". The record is from RNAcentral. Lineage: Eukaryota; Metazoa; Arthropoda; Insecta; Hemiptera; Aleyrodidae.